RNAcentral lists this unclassified non-coding RNA (280 nucleotides) under Bombus terrestris (buff-tailed bumblebee). Its description in RNAcentral is "misc RNA ENSBTSG00005037568.1". Lineage: Eukaryota; Metazoa; Arthropoda; Insecta; Hymenoptera; Apidae. The record is from RNAcentral.
ACCAUAUCCAACGAUGUCGAAGGAAAGAAAAGUUCUUUGGAGGAUGGACGACAGAAAUCACGAGCGAACGAGGCUGGAUUAACCCGGUGGGAAAUGGGAUCAGUGCAAGAGGCUUCGAGCGGAACUGAUUGGGGAGGGUUGCUUCUUCGCCUCGCGGAUAGACAGGAAUCUGAUAGAGAAACAAGAGAUCUCCCUCCUCUAAUCUCUUUAUUGAGACCAAAGUUAGAAAAGUCCGACUUUACCCUUCGCAAAUCGCACGAAGAUCGUCAACGAAGAUCGC